This is a non-coding RNA of Vicia faba (fava bean), 381 nucleotides long. The record is from the annotation of a GenBank genome assembly. NCBI's taxonomy places the organism in Eukaryota, Viridiplantae, Streptophyta, Magnoliopsida, Fabales, Fabaceae.
UCAUUCAUACACAAACCCAAACUCUCAAAUUUUGGGUUACCAAAAGACAAAAUUUAUGUGUACUAUUAUUGUGUAGACAUGUGGUUUGGAUAUGAGAGGAAAAGGGACCAAGAUUUCUUGUAUUUCUAUAUGAUGAUGUUUUUGGUAACAACGUUGUUGUGUUGCCAUUCAUGUCAUGUUGGAGCUAUUCGUAUAUUCUCAGAAAAGACUGUGGCAAAAGUGGAAUUCAACAGAAGAGUUAUGCAGAACAACAUCAACAACAAAGAUCUGUUCAAUAAAUACUUCAAAGGUAGCACUUUUUUGUACAAGAACAGAACCAAAAUAGAGUUUGAUGAUAUCAAAAGAAAAGUUCCAAGUUGCCCAGAUCAUCUUCACAAUUAA